GACGAACGCUGGCGGCGUGCUUAACACAUGCAAGUCGAACGGGAUCCGGGCUUUCGGGUUUGGUGAGAGUGGCGAACGGGUGAGUAACACGUGAGUAACCUGCCCCCUUCUUUGGGAUAACGUCGGGAAAUCGGCGCUAAUACUGGAUAUUCUUGCUGCAUCGCAUGGUGUGGUUUGGAAAGGGUUUCUGGUGGGGGAUGGGCUCGCGGCCUAUCAGCUUGUUGGUGGGGUGAUGGCCUACCAAGGCUUUGACGGGUAGCCGGCCUGAGAGGGUGUCCGGCCACACUGGGACUGAGACACGGCCCCGACUCCUACGGGAGGCAGCCGUGGGGAAUAUUGCACAAUGGGCGCAAGCCUGAUGCAGCGACGCCGCGUGAGGGAUGCCGGCCUUCGGGUUGUAAACCUCUUUCAGUAUGGAACAAGGAUCCUUCUUUUGGGGGGUUUGAGGGUACGUGCAGAAGAAGCGCCGGCUAACUACGUG
RNAcentral lists this ribosomal RNA (481 nucleotides) under uncultured bacterium. RNAcentral describes it as "partial 16S ribosomal RNA". It matches the Rfam family "Bacterial small subunit ribosomal RNA", at positions 28 to 507 of the family's 1533-position model. The record is from RNAcentral.